RNAcentral lists this ribosomal RNA (406 nucleotides) under uncultured bacterium. RNAcentral's name for it is "partial 16S ribosomal RNA". It matches the Rfam family "Bacterial small subunit ribosomal RNA", at positions 30 to 526 of the family's 1533-position model. The record is from RNAcentral.
AUUGAACGCUGGCGGCAGGCCUAACACAUGCAAGUCGAACGAGUGGCGGACGGGUGAGUAAUGUCUGGUAAACUGCCUGAUGGAGGGGGAUAACUACUGGAAACGGUAGCUAAUACCGCAUACCAUCGGAUGUGCCCAGAUGGGAUUAGCUAGUAGGUGGGGUAACGGCUCACCUAGGCGACGAUCCCUAGCUGGUCUGAGAGGAUGACCAGCCACACUGGAACUGAGACACGGUCCAGACUCCUAGGGAAGGCAGCAGUGGGGAAUAUUGCACAAUGGGGGCAAGCCUGAGUCAGCCAUGCCGCGUGGUUGAAGAAGGCCUUGGGGUUGUAAAGUACUUUCAGCGGGGAGGCGUUACCCGCAGAAGAAGCACCGGCUAACUCCGUGCCAGCAGCCGCGGUAAUUC